AUGGGCGCGGAGGCGGAGUGCGACAGGAUAAAGGGGCCGUGGAGCCCUGAGGAGGACGAGGCGCUGCGGCGGCUGGUGGAGCGGCACGGGGCGCGGAACUGGACCGCGAUCGGGAGAGGGAUCCCCGGGCGGUCGGGCAAGUCGUGCCGCCUGCGGUGGUGCAACCAGCUCUCGCCGCAGGUGGAGCGCCGCCCCUUCACGGCGGAGGAGGACGCCGCCAUCCUGCGGGCGCACGCGCGCCUCGGCAACCGCUGGGCCGCCAUCGCGCGCCUGCUGCCCGGCCGCACCGACAACGCCGUCAAGAACCACUGGAACUCCUCGCUCAAGCGCAAGCUCGCCACCGCCACCGGCGGCGCGGCGUGGGAGGAGGCCAGCGACUCCGGCGACUCCCCGCGGCCGUGCAAGCGCGCGAGCCCGGGUCCCGAGAGUCCCACUGGAUCCGACCGCAGCGAGCUCAGCCACGGGAGCGGGCAGGUGUUCCGGCCCGUCCCGCGCCCCGGCGGGUUCGACGCUAUCAGCGCGGACGUGAGGCCGCCUCCUCCGCGCCAGGACGAGGACCCGAUCACCUCUCUGUCGCUCUCGCUACCCGGACUGGAGCACGGGUUCCACCACGAUAGCGCCCGGAGCCACUUCCAGGAGCUCUCGCCAUCGCCACGCUCGCCUUCUCCUCCACCGGCGCCGGUGCCUCAGCCGUCGUCCUCGUACCCGUUCAGCGGCGAUCUGGUGGCGGCCAUGCAGGAGAUGAUCCGCGCGGAGGUGUGCAAGUACAUGUCCGGCGUGGGGCUCCCGGCCGGGUGCGGCGCGGGUGCCGUGGGCGAGGCGUGCAUCCCGCAGCUCGUGGAGGGCGUGAUGCGCGCCGCGCGGAGCGGGUCGGCGUCAUGA
This 882-nucleotide ribosomal RNA is filed under the name Triticum aestivum (bread wheat). Its description in RNAcentral is "partial small subunit ribosomal RNA". The record is from RNAcentral. Lineage: Eukaryota; Viridiplantae; Streptophyta; Magnoliopsida; Poales; Poaceae.